AAUAGAUACCCGGGUAGUCCACGCCGUAAACGAUGUCGACUUGGAGGUUGUUCCCUUGAGGAGUGGCUUCCGGAGCUAACGCGUUAAGUCGACCGCCUGGGGAGUACGGCCGCAAGGUUAAAACUCAAAUGAAUUGACGGGGGCCCGCACAAGCGGUGGAGCAUGUGGUUUAAUUCGAUGCAACGCGAAGAACCUUACCUACUCUUGACAUCCAGAGAACUUAGCAGAGAUGCUUUGGUGCCUUCGGGAACUCUGAGACAGGUGCUGCAUGGCUGUCGUCAGCUCGUGUUGUGAAAUGUUGGGUUAAGUCCCGCAACGAGCGCAACCCUUAUCCUUUGUUGCCAGCGGUUAGGCCGGGAACUCAAAGGAGACUGCCAGUGAUAAACUGGAGGAAGGUGGGGAUGACGUCAAGUCAUCAUGGCCCUUACGAGUAGGGCUACACACGUGCUACAAUGGCGCAUACAAAGAGAAGCGACCUCGCGAGAGCAAGCGGACCUCAUAAAGUGCGUCGUAGUCCGGAUUGGAGU
Molecule: ribosomal RNA, 527 nt
Filed under: uncultured bacterium
Lineage: Bacteria
Description: bacterial SSU rRNA
Rfam family: Bacterial small subunit ribosomal RNA
Source: RNAcentral